GGCGGCGUGACUUAACACAUGCAAGUCGAACGGAGGAUUUAGUUCGGUAAAUCCUUAGUGGCGAACGGGUGAGUAACGCGUGGGCAAUCUGCCCUUCAGAUGGGGACAACAUCCCGAAAGGGUGCUAAUACCGAAUACGAUCGUAUCCCCGCAUGGGAUUGUGAUGAAAAGAUGGCCUCUAUUUAUAAGCUAUCGCUGAAGGAUGAGCCUGCGUCUGAUUAGCUAGUUGGUGGGGUAACGGCCUACCAAGGCGAUGAUCAGUAGCCGGUCUGAGAGGAUGAACGGCCACAUUGGGACUGAGACACGGCCCAAACUCCUACGGGAGGCAGCAGGUGGGGAAUAUUCCGCAAUGGACGAAAGUCUGACGGAGCAACGCCGCGUGAGUGAUUAGUAAGGUUUUCGGACUGUAAAGCUCUGUUGUUUAGGACGAAAGUGCCUGUUGCGAACAGUUACAGGUAUUGACGGUACUGAACGAGGAAGCCACGGCUAACUACGUGCCAGCAGCUGC
Molecule: ribosomal RNA, 508 nt
Filed under: uncultured bacterium
Lineage: Bacteria
Description: bacterial SSU rRNA
Rfam family: Bacterial small subunit ribosomal RNA
Source: RNAcentral